AGUGAACGCUGGCGGUAGGCCUAACACAUGCGAGUCGAACGGCAGCACAGUAAGAGCUUGCUCUUACGGGUGGCGAGUGGCGGACGGGUGAGGAAUACAUCGGAAUCUACUUUUUCGUGGGGGAUAACGUAGGGAAACUUACGCUAAUACCGCAUACGACCUACGGGUGAAAGCAGGGGAUCUUCGGACCUUGCGCGAUUGAAUGAGCCGAUGUCGGAUUAGCUAGUUGGCGGGGUAAAGGCCCACCAAGGCGACGAUCCGUAGCUGGUCUGAGAGGAUGAUCAGCCACACUGGAACUGAGACACGGUCCAGACUCCUACGGGAGGCAGCAGUGGGGAAUAUUGGACAAUGGGCGCAAGCCUGAUCCAGCCAUACCGCGUGGGUGAAGAAGGCCUUCGGGUUGUAAAGCCCUUUGUUGGGAAAGAAAAGCAGCAGGUUAAUACCCCGCUGUUCUGACGGUACCCAAAGAAUAAGCACCGGCUAACUUCGUG
RNAcentral lists this ribosomal RNA (491 nucleotides) under uncultured bacterium. Its description in RNAcentral is "partial 16S ribosomal RNA". It matches the Rfam family "Bacterial small subunit ribosomal RNA", at positions 29 to 507 of the family's 1533-position model. The record is from RNAcentral.